Salvelinus namaycush (lake trout) is the source of this 293-nucleotide long non-coding RNA. RefSeq lists it as uncharacterized. The record is from RefSeq and is a predicted model, not a curated record. The transcript has 3 exons. NCBI's taxonomy places the organism in Eukaryota, Metazoa, Chordata, Actinopteri, Salmoniformes, Salmonidae.
CUGUGUUCCUGUUAGAGCCACCAGCACAAGCACCAGACGAUGCUGAUCCAGGUGAAGGCCCCAGUGCAGCAGCAACAGCACAUGAUGGAGACGAUGAUGAGGAGGAGACCAUCUCUCUGGAUUCCAGAAGGCAUGAGGACCCAGAUGCUAUACAGUGGGAAAACCAGCCAGGCAACAUAGUGCGUAUUAAUAAAAGGACACCACAUCCUGCCAAAUUCCAGCUGCGCUAAUUGUAUUGUGUUCACAGAGCUCACAAGCUAUCAGAAAGUUGUAUGGCAACCACCUCCGGCGCC